GAUUUGUUUCAAUGUGAAUCAAUGUGUUAAUAAUUAUAUUAAUAAGAGGUAUUUAUUAUUAAAGUGUUUUAGUUACUAAAUUAAAUAAUUCAUGGAUUAUUUCCUGUAAGGAAAGUAUGGUUUUAUAAGUAAAUUAAAUUUUUAUUGUACCUUUUGUAUCAGGGUUGAUUAAUAUAUUAUUAAGUCUUUUUAUAUCCCGAAAGAAGAGGAGUUAAGUGGUAAAAGUUAAGUUAUUGUAGUAAUAAUAUUUAGAAUUUUCAUUUUGAGUUGAAAUUAAAAUCGUUUUUUUUGAUAUCUGGUUACUAAAUAAUUGAGUUUAAUUCGUUAAUAAUUAAUAUUUAAUAUUUUUUUAUAAUUUUUAAGUGUUAUUAUUGUUUAUUUUGGGGGUUAAUCUUCAAAAUUAUUUAUAAUUUAUUGUUUAUUUAGAAAAUUUAGUAGGUUUAGAAGUUGUCAUCUUAAAAAUGUUUUAUAACUGAAUUUUUAAUUGAAUUUAUUUGUUUUAUAUUUAAUGUAUUUAUUUAGUUAUUAAUUAAAAUUUAUACAAUUAAUUAAUUAUGAUUGAAUUAGUAAAUUUGUAUUUUAUUAUCAAAGAAUUCGGCAAAUGGAAGUACCUGCCUGUUUAACAAAAACAUGUCCUUUAGUCUUGUAUUUAAGGUUUAACCUGCCCUAUGAUUAUUAUUAAAUGGCUGCGGUAUUUUGACCGUGCAAAGGUAGCAUAAUAAUUAGUUUUUUAAAUGGAAACUUGAAUGAAAGGUUGCACAAGGUAUUAACUUUUUUGUUUAAUAUCAAUUGAAUUUAAUAUUUAAGUUAAAAAGCUUAAAUAUUUUAAUAGGACGAGAAGACCCUAUAGAGCUUGAAAAAUAGGUUAGUUAUUUAAAUUUGGAAUAUUAAUAAUUAAUAAUUAAGUUAUUUUUUUGGUUGGGGUGAUUUUUAAAUUUUUUUAACUUUUAUUAUUUUAUUCAAUGAUUUUUGAUUGGUCAUUUGAUCUUGUAUUAUGCAUUAAUAGAUUAAGCUACCUUAGGGAUAACAGCGAUAUUUAUUUGUAGAGUUCUUAUCGAUAAAUAAGAUUUCGACCUCGAUGUUGGAUUAAGAAAAAUAAUAGGUGUAUCAACUUAUUUAUUAGGUCUGUUCGACCUUUAAAAUCUUACAUGAUCUGAGUUCAGACCGGCGUGAGCCAGGUCGGUUUCUAUCCUUUAAUAGGAUUUAUUUGUUAGUACGAAAGGACCAUGAAUAGAAAAUAAAUUUUAUUAAU
This 1252-nucleotide ribosomal RNA is filed under the name Peloridium hammoniorum. Its description in RNAcentral is "16S ribosomal RNA". The stretch from base 1023 to 1181 matches the Rfam family "Archaeal large subunit ribosomal RNA", at positions 2544 to 2703 of the family's 2987-position model. The record is from RNAcentral. Lineage: Eukaryota; Metazoa; Arthropoda; Insecta; Hemiptera; Peloridiidae.